Molecule: ribosomal RNA, 402 nt
Filed under: uncultured bacterium
Lineage: Bacteria
Description: bacterial SSU rRNA
Rfam family: Bacterial small subunit ribosomal RNA
Source: RNAcentral
AACGAACGCUGGCGGCGUGCCUAACACAUGCAAGUCGCGCGGGAAAGUUCCCUUCGGGGAGCGAGUAUAGCGGCGCACGGGUGAGUAAUACGUAGGUAACCUGCCCUCGAGACUGGGACAACCUGUCGAAAGACGGGCUAAUACCGGAUAAGACCACGAGAGCUGCGGCUCUUGGGGUAAAAGGUGGCCUCUGCUUGCAAGCUAUCACUUGAGGAUGGGCCUGCGCGCCAUUAGCUAGUUGGUGAGGUAACGGCUCACCAAGGCAGAGAUGGCUAGCUGGUCUGAGAGGAUGACCAGCCACACUGGGACUGAGACACGGCCCAGACUCCUACGGGAGGCAGCAGUGGGGAAUAUUGCGCAAUGGGCGAAAGCCUGACGCAGCGACGCCGCGUGGGUGAUGAA